Molecule: long non-coding RNA, 194 nt
Organism: Aethalodelphis obliquidens (Pacific white-sided dolphin)
Lineage: Eukaryota; Metazoa; Chordata; Mammalia; Artiodactyla; Delphinidae
Exons: 3
Source: RefSeq, a predicted model, not a curated record
UGUGAUUUUUUUUCUUUCAUUCUGUUAAUGUGGUGUAUUACAUUGAUCAGUUUCAUAUGUUGAACCAUCUCUGUGUUCUAGGAACAAAUCCCACAUGGUCACGGUAUGUAUAAUCCUUUUAAUGUGCUGCUGAAUUCAGUUUCCUAGUAUUUUGUUGAGAACUUUUGCAUCAGUGUUAAUGAGGGACACGGGUU